GUGGGGAAUUUUGGACAAUGGGGGAAACCCUGAUCCAGCGACGCCGCGUGAAGGAUGAAGGCCUUCGGGUUGUAAACUUCUUUUGGAGGGGACGAAUAAAUUGACGGUACCCUCGGAAAAAGCCACGGCUAACUACGUGCCAGCAGCCGCGGUAAUACGUAGGUGGCGAGCGUUACUCGGAAUUACUAGGCGUAAAGCGUAUGUAGGCGGUUGUAUAAGUCUAUGGUGAAAUUUCCUGGCUCAACUGGGAAGGGACUUAGAUACUGUAUGGCUUGAGUGUUGGAGGGGGAGACGGAAUUCCUGGUGUAGCGGUGAAAUGCGUAGAUAUCAGGAGGAACACCGAUGGCGAAAGCAGUCUCCUGGCCAAAUACUGACGCUGAGGUACGAAAGCUAGGGUAGCAAACAGGAUUAGAUACCCCAGUAGUCC
This 427-nucleotide ribosomal RNA is filed under the name uncultured bacterium. Its description in RNAcentral is "partial 16S ribosomal RNA". It matches the Rfam family "Bacterial small subunit ribosomal RNA", at positions 354 to 796 of the family's 1533-position model. The record is from RNAcentral.